RNAcentral lists this ribosomal RNA (436 nucleotides) under uncultured Cryomorphaceae bacterium. RNAcentral's name for it is "bacterial SSU rRNA". It matches the Rfam family "Bacterial small subunit ribosomal RNA", at positions 113 to 547 of the family's 1533-position model. Lineage: Bacteria; Pseudomonadati; Bacteroidota; Flavobacteriia; Flavobacteriales; Cryomorphaceae. The record is from RNAcentral.
ACGCGUAUGCAACCUACCUUAUACAGGGGUAUAGCCCGGAGAAAUUCGGAUUAAUCCCCCAUGGUACUGAGACACCGCAUGGUGCUUCAGUUAAAGCUUCGGCGGUAUAAGAUGGGCAUGCGUCCUAUUAGCUAGAUGGUAAGGUAACGGCUUACCAUGGCUACGAUAGGUAGGGGGCCUGAGAGGGUGGUCCCCCACACUGGUACUGAGACACGGACCAGACUCCUACGGGAGGCAGCAGUGAGGAAUAUUGGUCAAUGGGCGCAAGCCUGAACCAGCCAUGCCGCGUGCAGGAAGAAUGCCCUAUGGGUUGUAAACUGCUUUUAUUUGGGAAUAAACCUUUCUACGUGUAGGAAGCUGAAGGUACCAAAUGAAUAAGCACCGGCUAACUCCGUGCCAGCAGCCGCGGUAAUACGGAGGGUGCAAGCGUUAUCCG